AAAUGGAAAUGUCUCUCCAUCCUGCACUGAGGAGCACUGAGGAGCGAUCAUCAGGGAAGUGAAAAGGGAGAGGAGAAGCACAGAUGCUGCCACCACAGCUGGGCACAGCCUCUGGCAUGGGGAAUCACCCAUGGAUCCGACCCCCAUGGAUACAUCCAGGAGCACUGCACACUGGGGUGCAGCUUCAGCCAGGCCAAGAAAGCCACACAAGGCAUGCAAAGUUUUGGAAGAGAGCCCAGAUAUAACACCAAAUAAGAGGAAUCAGGCCCUAAGGUGAUUGAAAAACCUGAAGAACAGACUACCGCGUUUCUAGAGGACCUAUAUUUUCCAAAUAAAAGAAGCACAAGC
Lonchura striata (white-rumped munia) is the source of this 348-nucleotide long non-coding RNA. RefSeq lists it as uncharacterized. NCBI's taxonomy places the organism in Eukaryota, Metazoa, Chordata, Aves, Passeriformes, Estrildidae. The record is from RefSeq and is a predicted model, not a curated record.